GGAGAGCUGAUUGGACAACUCCAAAGCUUCUUCUUCCACUUGUAAACCUUCCAUGUUUCAUCGUAGCAUUGAUUUGCUUUACAAGCUUGGGAUUAACCACCGCCGACGACCCUAUUCUUCAUCCUGAAGAAGUUAUGUAUAUAUUAUUAUAUUCCCACUUUCUUUGGGAGUUUCCCUCAGCAAUGAAAUUUUUAUGAAUGAAUUGUAAAUAUCUAAUGCAGUGAAGGCACUGAAAGCAAUAGGGAAGAAGAUAGAGAAAAAGGAUUGGGAUUUUGGGAUAGAUCCAUGUAGUGGAAAAGGGAAUUGGAUGGCAAAAGGAGAUGGAAAUGAAGGAUUUG
RNAcentral lists this long non-coding RNA (338 nucleotides) under Gossypium barbadense (sea-island cotton). Its description in RNAcentral is "long non-coding RNA (GBAR_LNC018941)". Lineage: Eukaryota; Viridiplantae; Streptophyta; Magnoliopsida; Malvales; Malvaceae. The record is from RNAcentral.